This 253-nucleotide ribosomal RNA is filed under the name uncultured bacterium. Its description in RNAcentral is "partial 16S ribosomal RNA". It matches the Rfam family "Bacterial small subunit ribosomal RNA", at positions 524 to 776 of the family's 1533-position model. The record is from RNAcentral.
AACGUAGGAGGCGAGCGUUAUCCGGAUUUACUGGGCGUAAAGGGCGUGCAGGUGGCUGUGUAAGUGGUGCGUGAAAGCGCCCGGCUCAACCGGGCGAGGCCGUGCCAAACUGCACAACUAGAAACAGGCAGAGGAAAGUGGAAUUCGGGGUGUAGUGGUGAAAUGCGUAGAGAUCCCGAGGAACUCCUGUGGCGAAGGCGACUUUCUGGGCCUGCUUUGACACUCAGACGCGAAAGCAUGGGGAGCGAACGGG